RNAcentral lists this unclassified non-coding RNA (254 nucleotides) under uncultured Patescibacteria group bacterium. RNAcentral's name for it is "contains 16S-23S intergenic spacer region". It matches the Rfam family "Bacterial small subunit ribosomal RNA", at positions 524 to 776 of the family's 1533-position model. The record is from RNAcentral.
UACGUAGGGUGCAAGCGUUAUCCGGAUUUACUGGGCGUAAAGGGUUUCGCAGGCGGAAAUACAGGUGGCGGGUAAAAGCCUACGGCUCAACCGUAGAACUGCUCGUCAAACCGUAUUUCUUGAAUUUGUUCGGGGAAGCUGGAAUUCUCGGUGGAGGGGUGAAAUCCGUUGAUAUCGAGAGGAACGCCAAGGGCGAAGGCAGGCUUCUAGGACAUAAUUGACGCUCAUGAACGAAAGCUUGGGUAGCAAACCGG